CACGUAGGGGGCAAGCGUUGUCCGGAUUUAUUGGGCGUAAAGAGCUCGUAGGCGGUUUCGUAAGUCGGAUGUGAAAACUCCAGGCUCAACUUGGAGACGCCAUUCGAUACUGCGAUGACUUGAGUCCGGUAGGGGAGUGUGGAAUUCCUGGUGUAGCGGUGAAAUGCGCAGAUAUCGGGAGGAACACCAGUGGCGAAGGCGGCCAUCUGGAUCAACACUGACGCUGAGGCACGAAAGCGUGGGGAGCAAACAGG
This 254-nucleotide ribosomal RNA is filed under the name uncultured bacterium. RNAcentral's name for it is "partial 16S ribosomal RNA". It matches the Rfam family "Bacterial small subunit ribosomal RNA", at positions 524 to 776 of the family's 1533-position model. The record is from RNAcentral.